CAGGUUUACGCUGUUGCUUGAGUUUUAAUUUUGCUCCACAGCUGAAGGCCUGACGCUCUUUGGAUUUUGAUUUUUUGUACUCCAUGAACUGCUUGUAUGACGGACAUGUUUGUUCUGGAUUAAUGAAAAACGUUUGACAUCAAAACGGGGUUAGCACUCUCCAUUACUAAACGUAGACGAGAAUACAGUAUAAGGAAACAGAAACAGAAACCGGAGCCAAAAUGGUAAAUAAACGUGCUAUUUAACUGAAAUAACAUAGACUGUCUGAAGAGAACAAAAAGUGAGUAAUAUAUCAAAAUUACUUUGUUCAGAAUUUUCUGUUUGUUUUGAUGUCCCCGGGGAGUUUGAUCCUUCAGCCUGGUCUGUGUCCCGCAAAAGCUCCAGAGACCGUCCACAGGAAGCACAAAAAGGGGUGAAGAGGCUGAAGCUAACGCCACAAAACGGGCAAAACAUUUUCCGGUUCUCUAUGUAGUGCAGCAAGCACCGUCAGGGUGAUAAGGAAGCGCUGUGAGGUGUGAGUUUCUCAACGUUUGUUGACAUCCCGAAUCACUUUUCUGAGCUACAAAUAUGGAGUAAGCCUAAUCGUUGUGCCACUUCCGGUAUUUCAGACAAUCCCUUUCCGUCAAGGAUUUUUAAUUUGUUGCGGUUUUUUAAUUUGUUGUGGAUUUUUGAUUUGUUGCGGUUUUUUAAUUUGUUGUGGAUUUUUAAUUUGUUGCGGUUUUUUAAUUUGUUGUGGAUUUUUAAUUUGUUGCGGUUUUUUAAUUUGUUGUGGAUUUUUAAUUUGUUGCGGUUUUUUAAUUUGCUGUGGAUUUUUAAUUUGUUGCGGUUUUUUAAUUUGUUGUGGAUUUUUAAUUUGUUGUGGAUUUUUAAUUUGUUGUGGUUUUUUAAUUUGUUGCGGUUUUUUAAUUUGUUCCGGUUUUUUAAUUUGUUGCGGUUUUUUAAUUUGUUGUGGAUUUUUAAUUUGUUGCGGUUUUUUAAUUUGUUGCGCUUUGCACUUCCCAGCCACCGUACAUACAACAUUAACUUUUACUAAAAAAAGUUAUUCCCAACAAGCAGAACAUUAAAGUGCCAAUCUUUUGCUCAUUUAUACAUAAUGUUUUGAGAAGC
Long non-coding RNA from Astatotilapia calliptera (eastern happy), 1107 nucleotides. Lineage: Eukaryota; Metazoa; Chordata; Actinopteri; Cichliformes; Cichlidae. The record is from Ensembl.